This 317-nucleotide ribosomal RNA is filed under the name uncultured eukaryote. RNAcentral's name for it is "partial 18S ribosomal RNA". It matches the Rfam family "Eukaryotic small subunit ribosomal RNA", at positions 1470 to 1796 of the family's 1831-position model. The record is from RNAcentral.
CCCUUAGAUGUUCUGGGCCGCACGCGCGUUACACUGAUGCAUUCAACGAGUUCUUCCUUGGCCGAGAGGCCUGGGCAAUCUUUUGAACGUGCAUCGUGAUAGGGAUAGAUUAUUGCAAUUAUUAAUCUUGAACGAGGAAUUCCUAGUAAACGCAGUUCAUCAAACUGCAUUGAUUACGUCCCUGCCCUUUGUACACACCGCCCGUCGCACCUACCGAUUGAAUGGUCCGGUGAAGCUUUUGGACUGCGCGUGGCUUCGUGCCGUGUCGCGGAAAGUCAGCUAAACCUUAUCACUUAGAGGAAGUAAAAGUCGUANCA